This 128-nucleotide ribosomal RNA is filed under the name Paenibacillus macerans. RNAcentral describes it as "partial 16S ribosomal RNA". It matches the Rfam family "Bacterial small subunit ribosomal RNA", at positions 1415 to 1533 of the family's 1533-position model. The record is from RNAcentral. RNAcentral also lists the same sequence under 2 other names. Lineage: Bacteria; Bacillati; Bacillota; Bacilli; Caryophanales; Paenibacillaceae.
CAACACCCGAAGUCGGUGAGGUAACCGCAAGGGGCCAGCCGCCGAAGGUGGGGUAGAUGAUUGGGGUGAAGUCGUAACAAGGUAGCCGUAUCGGAAGGUGCGGCUGGAUCACCUCCUUUCUAUGGAGA